Molecule: long non-coding RNA, 996 nt
Organism: Panicum virgatum (switchgrass)
Lineage: Eukaryota; Viridiplantae; Streptophyta; Magnoliopsida; Poales; Poaceae
Exons: 2
Source: RefSeq, a predicted model, not a curated record
AAAGCGGUGUCAACACAUGCCCCCCAAUUUUGGAGUGAAAUAUAAUUUUUGCUCCGAAAUUCUUCUGACAAGUGGACCUCUUGCUCUCCGUGCAAACAUCAUCAAUAUUUACAGAGCCAAUUCCUCACAUCCCGUAUCACCAAUAUGUGAAAACUCUUCUUUGCCCUUGAUCUUCUUUCUCCCUAGCCAUAUAUCCUCGACGCGGCGGCUCAACUUCUGUCUUUUCACCUUUCUUUACCAGAUCUGAAUUUCAAACGUCUUCAUCUGCUGAGCCAGUUCUCCUCCCCUUGACCUCUAUAAGUAGCAGCCAUUGUUACCACAAGCACCUCAAGGUCCACCAGUCGCUAUGCUCUUUGUUUCCUCUUCUUCCUCAAAGGUCCUCAGCCGCUUCCUCGUGAGCAAUGAUCGGAAAACAUACACACAUCAGGGAGGUAUCUCUGAACCAAUCAUCGGCUCUUUGCUGCCACUAUAGGGAUAACAGAUCUUCUGGCAUAUGGCACUACACACAUCCCUCAGCUUUAAGAGGUUCAGCUCCACCAACGAUGCCCAGGAGCUCAUGCGCGAAUAUUAUCCUCAGACGAAAAUACGCCUCCGCCAGGUAAUCUUUCUUUGCUGAUACUUCCGACUAAUUAAUCUACCUCUGUCCCUGCCAAUCUUGGAAUUUCAGAUCUAGAAUCUUCUUCUCCUUCCAAUAGCGGCUUCGGCUAUGUCUACAUCGAGCAUCAGAAGCAAACACGCAGAACGCCCCAUGGAGGAACCACCACUCCAACCUAAUUCAGGGUCCUCCUCCAGCACUUGCAUUUUGUUCCUUCAAGGGGCAACUCAAGGAAUAGGAAGGAGCUGAAGAACUUGCCGAUGAACUGUCAGUACUGCAAUGUGUAAAUCUCGAUGUGUAAUCAAUAAUACUGAGCAAACAAUUUUAUCAGCACUAGCUAGUCCCAAUGUAAUUCUCCUGUUCUGUUUUAGAAAUCAAUGAACUGACUCAAAUCCAACUUA